This 734-nucleotide long non-coding RNA is filed under the name Amborella trichopoda. Its description in RNAcentral is "long non-coding RNA (ATRI_LNC001559)". Lineage: Eukaryota; Viridiplantae; Streptophyta; Magnoliopsida; Amborellales; Amborellaceae. The record is from RNAcentral.
CACUUUUCCUAUUUUAUCUCUUCUUCCCUAUUUUCUCUCUCUUAACCUAGUUUCUUGAUCAUUGGUAUCUUAUUUCUUUAACCACGUACCAAAAAAGAUAAGAUUUUCCACAUUUUAUCCAAAGUUAUGCUUCCCACUUUUUAUCUAAAACAUUCCUAAUAAAACCUCUUUAGAUUUAACUAAUUCCCUUAAUUUAACCUUAUCUAUUUACCUUCAUAAACUAACCUAACUGAUACUAGAUAAACUCUUACCCACCGUAAUUAUCCCUGUGCAUAUAUCUGAAGAGAUAAACAAAUGAAUAAUAAAAAAUUAAAAUAACUCUAAUAUUAUUUGCAUUAUUCUCCUCGGGUUGAGAGAAGCUCGACCUCGAGCUCAAAAGUUGGUGAUGAAGUCACACCAUGAGCCUCGAUACGUUUUCUUCAAUUUCUUCAAGACUGAUGCCUGCAAUUGUGUUCCAAGAGUAAUUGUUGAAUAGAGCUUGGGCUUAUUAUUUUUAACCAAAAGUUGGUGAUGAAGUCGCACCAUGAGCCUCGGUACGUUUUCUUGAAUUUCUUCAAGACUGAUACUUGCAAUUGUGUAUUCCAAGAGUAAUUGUUGAAUACGAAAUUGGCCUGAUUAUUCCUAAACAGGAAUGGGUCUAGCUCCAAAAAACACCAAGUUGAACCAAUGAACACGUUUGACCAUGAAAUUUUGGGAGAUCAAUUUUAAUGUCAAAAUCUCGUGGUCGUUCUAUA